AACGAACGCUGGCGGCAGGCCUAACACAUGCAAGUCGAGCGAGGACUUCGGUCCUAGCGGCGGACGGGUGAGUAACGCGUGGGAACGUGCCCUUUGCUUCGGAAUAGCCCUGGGAAACUGGGAGUAAUACCGGAUGAGCCCUUUGGGGGAAAGAUUUAUCGUCGAAGGAUCGGCCCGCGUUGGAUUAGGUAGUUGGUGGGGUAAUGGCCUACCAAGCCGACGAUCCAUAGCUGGUUUGAGAGGAUGAUCAGCCACACUGGGACUGAGACACGGCCCAGAAUCCUACGGGAGGCAGCAGUGGGGAAUCUUAGACAAUGGGGGAAACCCUGAUCGAGCCAUGCCGCGUGAGCGAUGAAGGCCUUAGGGUUGUAAAGCUCUUUCAGCUGGGAAGAUAAUGACGGUACCAGCAGAAGAAGCCCCGGCUAACUCCGUG
Molecule: ribosomal RNA, 433 nt
Filed under: uncultured bacterium
Lineage: Bacteria
Description: partial 16S ribosomal RNA
Rfam family: Bacterial small subunit ribosomal RNA
Source: RNAcentral